Molecule: transfer RNA, 88 nt
Filed under: Mollicutes bacterium
Lineage: Bacteria; Bacillati; Mycoplasmatota; Mollicutes
Also listed under: 4 other names
Description: tRNA-Ser
Rfam family: tRNA
About the family: Transfer RNA (tRNA) molecules are approximately 80 nucleotides in length.
Source: RNAcentral
GGAGGGGUGUCAGAGCGGACGAAUGAGGUAGUCUUGAAAACUACUGUGGGGCAACUCACCGUGGGUUCGAAUCCCACCCCCUCCGCCA